RNAcentral lists this long non-coding RNA (219 nucleotides) under Elaeis guineensis (African oil palm). RNAcentral describes it as "long non-coding RNA (EGUI_LNC081447)". The record is from RNAcentral. Lineage: Eukaryota; Viridiplantae; Streptophyta; Magnoliopsida; Arecales; Arecaceae.
CCAUGCGCUGCACAUAGAAUUUUUUUUUUAAAGAAUUUUGAGCUACUAAAGUUUGGGCCUGGUUGAAGGGCCCAAAUGAGUUGGAUUAUUACAUUCUUUUUUCUUAAAAUAAUUUCAUCCUCAAAAUUAGCUUUGCUUGAUCAAUAACUUUAAAAAUACAUUGUUUAUGUCAUCCUCGAGCUUUUAAUAGUCUACUUUACAUAGUACUUGUUUCACAAG